This 397-nucleotide ribosomal RNA is filed under the name uncultured bacterium. RNAcentral describes it as "partial 16S ribosomal RNA". It matches the Rfam family "Bacterial small subunit ribosomal RNA", at positions 523 to 918 of the family's 1533-position model. The record is from RNAcentral.
AUACGUAGGGGGCAAGCGUUAUCCGGAUUUACUGGGUGUAAAGGGAGCGUAGACGGUAGGGUAAGUCAGAUGUGAAAGCCCGGGGCUCAACCCCGGGAUUGCAUUUGAAACUAUCCGACUAGAGUGCAGGAGAGGUAAGUGGAAUUCCUAGUGUAGCGGUGAAAUGCGUAGAUAUUAGGAGGAACACCAGUGGCGAAGGCGGCUUACUGGACUGUAACUGACGUUGAGGCUCGAAAGCGUGGGGAGCAAACAGGAUUAGAUACCCUGGUAGUCCACGCCGUAAACGGUGAAUACUAGGUGUUGGGGAGCAUAAGCUCUUCGGUGCCGUCGCAAACGCAUUAAGUAUUCCACCUGGGGAGUACGUUCGCAAGAAUGAAACUUAAAGGAAUUGACGGGG